Molecule: ribosomal RNA, 543 nt
Filed under: Megasphaera stantonii
Lineage: Bacteria; Bacillati; Bacillota; Negativicutes; Veillonellales; Veillonellaceae
Description: partial 23S ribosomal RNA
Rfam family: Bacterial large subunit ribosomal RNA
Source: RNAcentral
CAGAGCCGCUGGUGGGAUACCAACCUUGUUUUAUUGGGAUUCUAACGAGAGACGUAACGAGUCUUUGGACAGUCUCAGGCGGGCAGUUUGACUGGGGCGGUCGCCUCCGAAAGAGCAACGGAGGCGCCCAAAGGUUCCCUCAGCGCGGACGGAAACCGCGCGAAGAGUGUAAAGGCAGAAGGGAGCUUGACUGCGAGACGGACAGGUCGAGCAGGGACGAAAGUCGGGCUUAGUGAUCCGGUGGUAGAGAGUGGAAUUGCCAUCGCUCAACGGAUAAAAGCUACCCUGGGGAUAACAGGCUUAUCUCUCCCAAGAGUCCAUAUCGACGGGGAGGUUUGGCACCUCGAUGUCGGCUCAUCACAUCCUGGGGCUGAAGUAGGUCCCAAGGGUUGGGCUGUUCGCCCAUUAAAGUGGUACGCGAGCUGGGUUCAGAACGUCGUGAGACAGUUCGGUCCCUAUCCAUCGCGGGCGGAAGAAACUUGAAAGGGGCUGCUCCUAGUACGAGAGGACCGGAGUGGACGGACCAAUGGUGUACCAGUCAUG